ACGGGAGGCAGCAGUGGGGAAUAUUGCACAAUGGGCGAAAGCCUGAUGCAGCGACGCCGCGUGAGCGAAGAAGUAUUUCGGUAUGUAAAGCUCUAUCAGCAGGGAAGAUAAUGACAGUACCUGACUAAGAAGCACCGGCUAAAUACGUGCCAGCAGCCGCGGUAAUACGUAUGGUGCAAGCGUUAUCCGGAUUUACUGGGUGUAAAGGGCGUGUAGGCGGUUUGGCAAGUCAGAAGUGAAAUUCCCGGGCUUAACUUGGGCGCUGCUUCCGAAACUGCUUAACUUGAGUACUGGAGAGGAUAGUGGAAUUCCUAGUGUAGCGGUAAAAUGCACAGAUAUUAGGAGGAACACCGGUGGCGAAGGCGGCUAUCUGGACAGUAACUGACGCUGAGGCGCGAAAGCACGGGGAGCAAACAGGAUUAGAUACCCUGGUA
RNAcentral lists this ribosomal RNA (434 nucleotides) under uncultured Lachnospiraceae bacterium. RNAcentral's name for it is "partial 16S ribosomal RNA". It matches the Rfam family "Bacterial small subunit ribosomal RNA", at positions 341 to 792 of the family's 1533-position model. The record is from RNAcentral. Lineage: Bacteria; Bacillati; Bacillota; Clostridia; Lachnospirales; Lachnospiraceae.